RNAcentral lists this non-coding RNA (58 nucleotides) under Spodoptera frugiperda (fall armyworm). Lineage: Eukaryota; Metazoa; Arthropoda; Insecta; Lepidoptera; Noctuidae. The record is from RNAcentral.
CGGCUCAUCGUAUGGCAGUUUGCUGUGUAGUAUUGCCAGCUGCCUAGCGAAGGGCAAC